AAAAAGAGAUUAAAAUUCAACUAUAAAUAAGUAGAGGAUCAAGACCAUGUAGAAUCAACUUGAGAGAAAAGUGAAGCGAAAAUGUAAAGAAAGAGAGCAACCAUGAGUUUCUUUACAAUUUUUCCACCAUUACCUAUAAAGCUAAUAACCCUAUCACUUUCAUCCUCAUAAACUCUCCAUCAAUCCAUAUACCAUAAGAAAAAACACAAGACCGUUACACAAAUCUUUUAUCAAAUGUUUUAUUAUUAUUAUUAUUAUUUUUUUUAUCAAAUAACCUAAUAGAUUUGUCUAACACUUUAGAUGCCAACAUCUCAAACAUUACACAUUAACCCAAUGAAACCCAUGGUUUCAACAUCUAAAUAAUCACCGAAAAACAAAAUACCCAACCAUGGCAACAUAACCACUAGUGAAGCUCCUAAGCGGCCAUCACAGCUGCACUAGCUGCAAGUACACCUCUCUUUGUGAAUAAUGUUGGUUUAACAAUUCAAUUAUCAUAGCCAUUCAAAAAAAACCGGAUGAAUCAACGGGCUGGUCAACAUGCUGAACCAGUUCUGCAAACAAACCGAAGAAAACCGGAUUGAACCGGCCGGUUCGGUGGUUCAACCGCGGAACCGGUCUAACUGACACCAAACCAAACCAAUUUUGUGGUUGAACGAAAAUCACAUAAAAAAUUCCCUGCUGUGACUCGAACCUACUACAUGUGCAUAUGGGUAUGUUCAGGUUAUCACUAGGCCAGGACAACUUAUGUGAUUAAGAUGCGUAACAAUAAUAUAUAUUAAUAGUUUAUUUAAAAAACAUGGGCUAUGAUAUUUGUAUCCCUAAUUUUUUUUCCGUCUUUCUAAUAAUUGCAUCUCGGAUAUAUCUAUUUUUUUACAACAAAUAUAUGAUAUAUCUAUUAUAUAUUGAUAAAAUACAUUAAUUUAAUUUUUUUGGUUAUGGUGUUUUUUUAAUGUAGGAAUUCCAAUCGUAUAACUAUAUAUUAUUUCAAAUCUUUAAAUCUAAACUAUAAAUAUUAUCAACAUCUUCAUAAUUACUCAUUUACAUUUAUCAUUAUGACCCAUUACCGUCAGUUAUAUCUUUGUUCUUCUUUUCUUUUAUGAUGGCACAAUAUAAAUGUUUACACUCUAUCAUCGCAAAAGAAAGAAAGAAAAAAGCUAUAUCCAAAAGUAAUUUAUUCAUGACGAUAAAUGUAUUUAUAGUUUAGAUUUAGAGAUUUGAAGAAUAAAAAUGUAUUCACUUUUGAUGGAAAGAUUAUUGCGCGUGUUUCAAUUUCGCGUGUGCUCACCGUACUUCCGCAUCUUUGGCUCAAUCUGUUCGGUGAUUUGAUUUCUCUUUUGUUUAGGUUUUUGUGUUUCAGGUAUGCAGAUUUUGUUUUUCAUUGUUUAGGUUUUAAUUGUAUGCUUUCCGUGUGAUGUAGCUGGAUUAUCAAUUUGUGAAGGUUUGUUGGUGGUUCAAGCUUUUGAAGGAGUGAAUUAUGAGCCUUGUCUUUUAAUUAGAGGACUUAAUAUAAUUAAUGCAAAGAAUGUUAGAGAAAAACUUGUUGAAUAGUCAAGAGAGAAAUGUCACUCUCACAUUGAAUCUUUUUCGACUAAUUAGGAGUAUUUUUGUGAAAAUUUAAUUAAUACAUCUUAAAGUUUGAAAAUGGUCUUAUAAUUUUUUUUUUUACUAAAAAAUGUUCUUAUAAAAUAGAACAACAAAAUUUCACAAAAUAUCUUAACGAAUGUAGUAAUAUUUAAUUAUGUAUCGUGAAUUUGUGAUAGAUCACAUAGUCAAGAGAGAUGUCACUCUCACAUUGAAUUGAGAAAUUUUUAAAUUGGUUUUGUCACUGUGAUCAAUUGUUUUAGCUCCAUAGUUAUGGAUUACACAUUUUUAACACAUGCACCUUGAGCAAUUACCAACUCAAAUAAUUGGGAUUGGCUAUAACCACAAAGUAACUCAAAUUGAAAAUGCAUCUUUGAUGUAUUUCCUAUCAAUCAAUAGUUUGUAAUUCAAGUCAGAAGCUUUAGACUCUGAUCGUUUUCAGCCUCUGACCCUCCUGGUUCUGAAGUUGCCUUUGACUCUUUCAAAGGCUGUUAUAGCAAGUCUGGUUUUCGAACUAGCAGACUAUGAACCUCUGGUUUAGUUAUGCUUUUCCGUUUUGUUAGUCAGCGGUUAACGGUUAGUUAGUUGUUACGGUUGUCAUAAUUUGUUAGUCAAUUACAUAACAUUUUGUGUAUAUAAACAAUUGUAACUUCAAUUUUACUAUUCUUUCCCAAAUUUCAUCUCAACUCAUAUUCUCUCCAUCCUUCCAAAUUAUCGCCAAUACGUGUUCUUGUGUUCUAACAGCAUGUAGGUGUAAAUUGGACUUGUGGCUU
This 2354-nucleotide long non-coding RNA is filed under the name Trifolium pratense (red clover). RNAcentral's name for it is "long non-coding RNA (TPRA_LNC009039)". The record is from RNAcentral. Lineage: Eukaryota; Viridiplantae; Streptophyta; Magnoliopsida; Fabales; Fabaceae.